Molecule: long non-coding RNA, 1397 nt
Organism: Esox lucius (northern pike)
Lineage: Eukaryota; Metazoa; Chordata; Actinopteri; Esociformes; Esocidae
Source: Ensembl
CAAGAACAAACCAGUCGGGUGGGUGGGAUUACAGACGGCAAACCGCAAUGCUUGGUCUGAGGUAUGGCGUCAUAGUUUGCUGAUAUUACGUUUUCCUUGGCCGUUGGAAACAAAAAAAAAUACUUACAAACGGUAGCAACACUACAAAACAUUUACAUUCUUAAAAUGGAACCUUUAUCAUGGUCAUCUGGAGAUAUCAGAGUGUUAUUGAGCAUCUGGGCUGACUCCAAAAUCUGGUGGCAAUUGGAUUAUCGACUAAAAACGAAAAGGCAUUUUGAAAACAAUGAAGGAAGAAAUGAAGGAAGUUAAAACGGAAUAUUAAAAAUAUCUAAGAACACACUAACAAAAGCGGCUCAGGAAUCAGCCAAUAUUUCGAGACAAUGCUGUGCUGGGACGCAAACCUCUGACUUUGAAUUGUGGGACUGUGGACUCGGCAUCACCGACACCGUAGAUAUAUUGAAAGCGAUGGCGACUCCAAUCACCACCGAUGAUCAGAAGGACUGGCUGACUGAAAGAGGUAGAAGACUCACUUCCUCAUUGCUCCAUCCUACUGCAGACUGGCUGACUGAAAGGGAUAGAGGACUCACUUCAGACCCAAGGACCAGUGAAUGAAGAGAGGAUGUCAUCAACCUUCUUUUCAAAGUGGUUACAAACUCUUCUGCAGAGAGAAGAUGGAUGAGGAGGGUUGAGGAGUGAGAAACAUGUAGCAACAUUUCUUAGGUUUAGAGAAGAAACCUUGAACUUUGGACAGAAUGUAUCUUUAGCAGAGGAAGAGAAUGUAGCAAGCGGGGAGUGAACCCAAAAUUGAGAAAAUAAGUUUGCAAAGUUUGCAUGGGGAUGCAUAUGGGUUAAUGAGGUUGUGGCACCUCUGUAAAUUAUUCUUUGGUCAUGUGUCUUAUGAACAAUGAAAUAUAAAUAAUUACAGUAUUAAUGUUAUAUAAGGGAUUUACAAAUAUUAUCUUUUAGCGUCUGUGCGUGCUUUGAGUGUGUACAUAGUCAAAGGCUUUUCAUAAUUUGUUUCAGUCAUAGUGGACAGGUAUACUGCUACUGUGUACUGGGUGCAAUCAGAGAUGGUAAAGAAAACAAGAUUUCUGACUUUGGUCCAUGUUUUGGUCUGUCAGGUGCCCCUGAUAUGAGCUCAUAUUUUCAGUCGGAGAGGGGAAACCAGACCAGAUACCCCUAUCGCUUGCCCUGCUCUGACCAGACCAGUGAGAGGUUUUGCUCUGGGCAGCCUUCUGUAGGGUAGAGGCAAAUGCCCAAAUCAAACAAUAAUGAAACUGGGCCUCUUAUUGUGAUGUCUUUUUAAAUUUUUUAUCUCUGGUAGUAUUCAAAUUUGAUGUAAUUUUGAUGUACUGAAAAUAAUUACACAGCGUUAUCAUGGAAACCACCAAAGUGGG